Molecule: long non-coding RNA, 228 nt
Filed under: Eucalyptus grandis
Lineage: Eukaryota; Viridiplantae; Streptophyta; Magnoliopsida; Myrtales; Myrtaceae
Description: long non-coding RNA (EGRA_LNC007423)
Source: RNAcentral
AGUGGUGUACUCAUUCACCAAAUCACAUGUGUUUCUCGGGCGUCGUUUUCGCCAAUGACAUACCGAUCACCGACACCGUGCGUUCUUUAAGGCGCCGUUUUCACCAGUGAUAUCCUCGAUCACCGAACCACGUGUCCUUUCAAGGGCACCGUUUUCGCCAAGGUGACAUCGGCUAUAGACAACAUCGUGAGUUCUUUAAGGCGUCGUUUUCACCAGUGAUAUUUCCAU